UUGGGAGAACUAUGGAACGGAUGGUGCACUCACGACUGAAUUGGUAUCUCGAGUCUACUCGAUUCAACCGGGCAGUUAUGGCUGGUUUUCGUCAAAGUUGGUCUGUGACGGACAGCAUCAUCGACCUAGUGCGGCGGUGCGUCCGAAGGUCCGAAGCGCUGUUGUCGCGUCACUUCACGAGACCGGCGUGGGAGGUCGCACUCCUCUGGGUUCAGGAUUUCCUCAUUGACAAACAACUUUUGGUACGUAACCAUACCCGUAUCACCCUCUACGCCGACGAUAUUUGCAUAUGGACUUCUGCUAUCCGCCGGGAUACUCUUCAGCGUAGUUUGCAGCAAGCUAUGGACACCACGCUCUCCUAUCUCGCGGAACGCGGUCUCUCCAUUUCGCCAAGUAAGACAACAGCGGUGGUGUUUAUGCGCCGCUCUUUCCACAAAUACCCAAUAUUUGUGGAGGGCUCUGCUCCCACGUCCGCUAUCUUGGCGUGAUAAUUGACCGCAGGCUCACGUGGGCACGGCAAAUUCGGGCGAUUGGUGCAACCACAAAAAAGUUUGUCAAUGCCAUCAGAGUAGUAAUAGGCCUUGUCCAGACUACAGGGUGUACAAACUACAGGAUCCCUGCCCUUGAGCGUAUUUUUCCCUGCGCAGCGCGUUUGCGGAGGCUUGUCCGCGCGCUUAUAACAUGCAGAGACAUGCAAAGAAGGGUCAUACACAAAACGUACGAGUGAAAAUAUAUUUAUUAAUGCCAAUUGUAAUGCCAAUCAAGUUGCGAUAUAUUUAUUAAAGCCAAUUGUGCUGGGAAUUGUGCCAAUUGUGAUGCCAAUCAGGUGAAGGAGAA
Long non-coding RNA from Ornithodoros turicata, 837 nucleotides. RefSeq lists it as uncharacterized. NCBI's taxonomy places the organism in Eukaryota, Metazoa, Arthropoda, Arachnida, Ixodida, Argasidae. The transcript has 3 exons. The record is from RefSeq and is a predicted model, not a curated record.